GUUUUAUUGAANUUAAUUUUAAGUCAAAUCUGCUCAAUGAAUUAAUUUUAAAUAGCUGCAGUAUUAAUAACUGUACAAAGGUAGCAUAAUAAUUAGUUUUUUAAUUAAAAACUUGUAUGAAAGAUUUAAUGAAAUAUAAUCUGUCUCAAAUUUAUUUAAUAAACUUUUUUUUUAAAUAAAAAAAUUUAAAUUCUUUUUAAAGACGAGAAGACCCUAAAGAAUUUUUAUUAAAAAAAAUUAAAUUAAUUUAUUUUAAUUUUAAUUGGGGAAAUUUUAAAAUUUAAAUAAUUUUUAAUUAUAUAAACAAUUAUUUUUGUAUAAAAAAAUUUUAUAUUAAAUAAUAAACUAAAUUACCUUAGGGAUAACAGCAUAAUUUUUUUUUUAAGAUCUCAUUUUUAAAAAANUUUAU
Molecule: ribosomal RNA, 409 nt
Filed under: Snellenius n. sp. 'Mardulyn & Whitfield'
Lineage: Eukaryota; Metazoa; Arthropoda; Insecta; Hymenoptera; Braconidae
Description: partial 16S large subunit ribosomal RNA
Source: RNAcentral